RNAcentral lists this ribosomal RNA (1108 nucleotides) under Salmonella enterica subsp. enterica serovar Kottbus. RNAcentral's name for it is "partial 23S ribosomal RNA". It matches the Rfam family "Bacterial large subunit ribosomal RNA", at positions 673 to 1773 of the family's 2925-position model. Lineage: Bacteria; Pseudomonadati; Pseudomonadota; Gammaproteobacteria; Enterobacterales; Enterobacteriaceae. The record is from RNAcentral.
GAAACCGAGUCUUAAUUGGGCGUUAAGUUGCAGGGUAUAGACCCGAAACCCGGUGAUCUAGCCAUGGGCAGGUUGAAGGUUGGGUAACACUAACUGGAGGACCGAACCGACUAAUGUUGAAAAAUUAGCGGAUGACCUGUGGCUGGGGGUGAAAGGCCAAUCAAACCGGGAGAUAGCUGGUUCUCCCCGAAAGCUAUUUAGGUAGCGCCUCGUGAAUUCAUCUCCGGGGGUAGAGCACUGUUUCGGCUAGGGGGCCAUCCCGGCUUACCAACCCGAUGCAAACUGCGAAUACCGGAGAAUGUUAUCACGGGAGACACACGGCGGGUGCUAACGUCCGUCGUGAAGAGGGAAACAACCCAGACCGCCAGCUAAGGUCCCAAAGUCAUGGUUAAGUGGGAAACGAUGUGGGAAGGCCCAGACAGCCAGGAUGUUGGCUUAGAAGCAGCCAUCAUUUAAAGAAAGCGUAAUAGCUCACUGGUCGAGUCGGCCUGCGCGGAAGAUGUAACGGGGCUAAACCAUGCACCGAAGCUGCGGCAGCGACGCUUAUGCGUUGUUGGGUAGGGGAGCGUUCUGUAAGCCUGUGAAGGUGUGUCGUGAGGCAUGCUGGAGGUAUCAGAAGUGCGAAUGCUGACAUAAGUAACGAUAAAGCGGGUGAAAAGCCCGCUCGCCGGAAGACCAAGGGUUCCUGUCCAACGUUAAUCGGGGCAGGGUGAGUCGACCCCUAAGGCGAGGCCGAAAGGCGUAGUCGAUGGGAAACGGGUUAAUAUUCCCGUACUUGGUGUUACUGCGAAGGGGGGACGGAGAAGGCUAUGUUGGCCGGGCGACGGUUGUCCCGGUUUAAGCGUGUAGGUGUGUGUUCCAGGUAAAUCCGGUUCACUUUAACACUGAGGCGUGACGACGAGGCACUACGGUGCUGAAGCAACAAAUGCCCUGCUUCCAGGAAAAGCCUCUAAGCAUCAGGUAACAUCAAAUCGUACCCCAAACCGACACAGGUGGUCAGGUAGAGAAUACCAAGGCGCUUGAGAGAACUCGGGUGAAGGAACUAGGCAAAAUGGUGCCGUAACUUCGGGAGAAGGCACGCUGACACGUAGGUGAAGUGAUUUACUCA